UCCCCUGUAAAAGGGGAGGGUAGACGCGUCUGCCUCCCGGGGCCGCGGGAGGGGGGGGGGGGGGCGGCGGCGCGCACGGCGCAGGCGCAGACCUCAGCGCCGACGGCUCCGGCCCGGCCCGCGCCCACGUGCUGGGGCCUCGCGCCGCGGGGUGCUCCGCGCCUGCGCCCUCGGGACCGCCGGUCCCCCACGCGGUCCGCGCACCUGAGUUCCACUUGUUACCUCGUUUGAUCUCAACAGUGAACUGACCCUCGAAUCCAGUUGUUGGGAAACUGGACGUUGCAAACAGCGCGAGCGAGCGGAUCUGCUUUUGCUGCUGCACCUUUCAUGAGACCUGAGGCCGGAUCAAGGAUUUCCCCGCGCACACACCGGAAGACUCGGUAUGAAAAAAGGGUGUAAAACAUACCAUCAGUCGUUUUUUUAAAAAUGUUGAUGCCGUCUUGAAAGCACAUUUUGGAUACACAGGGUGGAAUGAAAUUUUAAAAGUAA
Myotis myotis is the source of this 489-nucleotide long non-coding RNA. RefSeq lists it as uncharacterized. Lineage: Eukaryota; Metazoa; Chordata; Mammalia; Chiroptera; Vespertilionidae. The record is from RefSeq and is a predicted model, not a curated record. The transcript is spliced from 2 exons.